CUCUGCGGCUGUAUCUCUACUUAGAGUAAUAAAUAUUUGAGCACGCACGCACUCAUGCAUUCUGUCUAUGUUGUUUUAAAACCAGACAUAAAGAACAUCUUUUCAAAAUCAUACCUCUGCUAGGAAUUCCCAGGCCAAGGGAAAGAUAACUUCCCAAAAGACAGAACAAGAAAACAGUCGAGAAAUAAUCCAUCGUUGUCAUAAUACCAUAUACGUAUAAUGAGGCAAUCUUCUUUGUGGCUAUAUAGACGUCCUCAAUUCAAAGCGAUUGUCAAACAACUGAAUUUUUGAUCACCAACAAUAGUCGCGAAUAUAUUCAAGAUAAAUGAGCGCGAUAAUCCAAGUUUGUCUUUAGAAUUGUUUAGUGAUCGGAAGUUAACAUGUUGACAACACGCUGUGUACGGUUUCGCAGUACUCGUCUCGAAGGAAAUCGAAAACCAUGCAGCUUGUCGCUCAGAGACUAUACUCACACUGAAAGGCCAGGAAACAACUUAAGUUUAAAAAGACCACUAAGCAAUCCUAAUACUCAACGAAGCAUGACCUGUUUAAAUUUAUUUGACUGAAUAUCCAUCUCUUUGUCUUUGUGGUCAAACUGACUCGAUAACUUGCCUACGCGAAGCGGAAUGGAAAACCAGCAGGUUGUGGAACCACAAGAAGGCGAUCAGUCGAUCCUUUUGCCACAAUAUUUUAUGCUGUACUUCGAAUAAUGUGAUAAUUGCAAAAGUAAGCACUAAUUUUCCGCAUUACAUUACAAUAAAUUGGCUAUAACGACAGUGAAGUGCAGACACUCGGUGAAAUUAAAUGAAGUUGGGCAUGGGAAAAACAAGGGUUUUAUACUGUGAGUGAAAUCUAUACAGUAUGAUACUAUGUGCAUAAUUAUACUGUGGGUCCUUUGGAAACAUACAAGUGCACUUCAAGUGGUAUUCAAGGUAUGGCCUUUGUGUGGCUGUUUAAUACAUGAUUGUUUUAAUCAUGUUGAGGUAGUCGAGCAAUGGCCAUUUGCACUGAAUUGUGAAUUUAAAAAAAAAUCGAGAUGAAUAAAAUUAGAAUUGGAUUGUUGCGAACAGUAUUACAAGUUGAACAAUUACUAUCUUUUCACCAGUCGUGCUAGGCAAACAGCAUUUCACAUACAGUAUUACGACAGAAUGAACAAUGUGGAGGAAAAACGUGGCAAAGUUUAAUCGCUAGCUCUGGAUUUGUCGAUCGGAUGAAUUGUAAUGUACACAAAAAACCGAUAGUUCAUUUAUCAUUCGUUAUAAUCAAAUGAUUUAACUUGAAACGUUACGUAUUAUACAAACUCCCGUAGGCCUAUCAUUUGAAAAACUAUAGUGAUGUUGGAUUGAGGAACACAUUUUAAUGUAUUCGUGAUUAACUGCGGUGUCCAAGAGGUUAAUUCCGUCUUCUGCUUCAAUUGUAUGCAUAUAAAGCCAUUAUCUAUAUACUAAUUCAAAUCUUCCCACAAAUGACUCAUCUAACUUUUGAAUAAAGGCCAUAAAAGCCAGAUUAAUAACAAAUAUAUAAAUCCCUUUGUACAAAUAAUAGGCACAAACAAUAUUUUUAUCCUUAGGCUGAUAAUUUGAGGAUCACAAAAAUUGGCUAGUUGCGAAAUGUAACUUUCACAAGAUUAAGAGAACCGAUAUUAUUAACUUAGACGGCCUGAAUAUCACAGUAUUGUGAAGGCUCCAAUUUGACUACCAUUUCAGAAAAUGCAUGUGAAUUUUCAAAUGUGAUAAUAUAUUUCAUGAG
Molecule: long non-coding RNA, 1746 nt
Filed under: Paramuricea clavata
Lineage: Eukaryota; Metazoa; Cnidaria; Anthozoa; Malacalcyonacea; Plexauridae
Source: RNAcentral